AGCAGCCGCGGUAAUUCCAGCUCCAAUAGCGUAUAUUAAAGUUGUUGCAGUUAAAAAGCUCGUAGUUGAAUUUCGGGGUUAGUAGGCUGGUCGUGCCACUGGUACGUACUGGUCUCACUGACUCCUCCUUCCUGAUGAACUGUAAUGCCAUUAAUUUGGUGUUGCAGGGAAACUGGACUGUUACUUUGAAAAAUUAGAGUGUUUAAAGCAAGCUAACGCUUGAAUACAUUAGCAUGGAAUAAUGAAAUAGGACGUUCGAUCCUAUUUUGUUGGUUUCUAGGAUUGACGUAAUGAUUAAUAGGGAUAGUUGGGGCAUUAGUAUUCAAUUGUCAGAGGUGAAAUUCUUGGAUUUAUUGAAGACUAACUACUGCGAAAGC
Molecule: ribosomal RNA, 377 nt
Filed under: uncultured Glomus
Lineage: Eukaryota; Fungi; Glomeromycota; Glomeromycetes; Glomerales; Glomeraceae
Description: SSU rRNA
Rfam family: Eukaryotic small subunit ribosomal RNA
Source: RNAcentral